This 502-nucleotide ribosomal RNA is filed under the name uncultured bacterium. RNAcentral's name for it is "bacterial SSU rRNA". It matches the Rfam family "Bacterial small subunit ribosomal RNA", at positions 29 to 524 of the family's 1533-position model. The record is from RNAcentral.
AUUGAACGCUGGCGGAAUGCUUUACACAUGCAAGUCGAACGGCAGCACGGGGGCAACCCUGGUGGCGAGUGGCGAACGGGUGAGUAAUACAUCGGAACGUGCCCAGUCGUGGGGGAGUAACUACGCGAAAGCGUAGCCAAUACCGCAUACGAUCUACGGAUGAAAGCGGGGGAUCGCAAGACCUAGCGCUGGAAGAGGGGCCCGCGUCCGAUUAGCUAGUUGGUGAGGUAACGGCUCACCAAGGCAACGAUCGGUAGCCGGCCUGAGAGGGCGGACGGCCACACUGGGACUGAGACACGGCCCAGACUCCUACGGGAGGCAGCAGUAGGGAAUUGUUCGCAAUGGGCGCAAGCCUGACGACGCAACGCCGCGUGGAGGAUGAAGAUUUUCGGAUCGUAAACUCCUUUCGAUCGAGACGAAUGGCCUCCGGGUGAAUACCCCGGAGGAAUGACGGUACCGAGAGAAGAAGCCCGGCUAACUCCGUGACAGCAGCCGCAGUAAU